Molecule: long non-coding RNA, 801 nt
Organism: Saccostrea echinata
Lineage: Eukaryota; Metazoa; Mollusca; Bivalvia; Ostreida; Ostreidae
Exons: 2
Source: RefSeq, a predicted model, not a curated record
GUAUAUGUCUGCUCAUCUGGCAAUCUUAGGACAUCACUGGAUGGUUUUGUUUAAAAAGAUUACAGAGUUAACACACACUUCCAGCAUGAAGACCAGCCAGUUGCCUCACCUGUCCUGACAUUGUUAAAGUACUUUGUGACAGUGAAAAGACAUGGCUUUAAAUUACUGCAUCAGAGAUCAAUCCAGGUUAUAAAUCUGAGGAAAACAAUAAAGCAUCACUUCGAGCUACUUAUAUCACUGCCUUAAUAAGUUGUCUGCAUGUGUACCUAACAAAGGACAGUGACCAGUUGUACCUAUGAUAUCAGAGGGCAUCCUGAAAAACACUCAUCACUAAGAAUAGAAAACUUCAAAUGACUUUUGUAUCAAUCCUUUUGAAUUUCAUCUGGCUUGGAAUUUCAGUAGCCUUUAGCAUCCUUCAAGCAUUUCAUGAAGUACAUGUACCAAUUUGCAGGUAUAAAAUGUUUGAAACAGAUUGCUUGUCCCAAAUAAAAAAAAAUAAAUUCUCUGCCAAUUAAUAGUGUCAUAAGCAGUUGAUUGAUAUCACAGUUCCACUGGCAUAGUAUUUGUAGUUGAAUUGUGCCAUUUUUUAAGAAAACUUUUCACAAAAACCUGGAAAACAUCAGAUGGAAAGGAGCAUCUACAAGAAAAACAGUGAACACUUUCUUGAAUAUUAACAAUGAUAUGUCAUGUCCAUUUACAUCCUUUAUAUAAACUAAUUAACCAAAUCAUAGAGAAUUAUGUACAAAUUUGUCCUUUUGUGUAUUCAUAGUGUAUUAAAUUGAUUUUACUAAUUUAUAAAUA